RNAcentral lists this ribosomal RNA (500 nucleotides) under uncultured bacterium. RNAcentral's name for it is "partial 16S ribosomal RNA". It matches the Rfam family "Bacterial small subunit ribosomal RNA", at positions 30 to 523 of the family's 1533-position model. The record is from RNAcentral.
AUUGAACGCUGGCGGAAUGCUUUACACAUGCAAGUCGAACGAUGAACCUUAGCUUGCUAAGGGGAUUAGUGGCGAACGGGUGAGUAAUAUAACGGAACGUACCUUGUAAUGGGGGAUGACUAGUCGAAAGAUUAGCUAAUACCGCAUACGCCCUGAGGGGGAACGUAGGGGAUCUUCGGACCUUACGUUAUAAGAGCGGCCGAUAUCUGAUUAGCUAGUUGGUGGGGUAAUGGCCUACCAAGGCGACGAUCAGUAGCUGGUCUGAGAGGACGACCAGCCACACUGGAACUGAGACACGGUCCAGACUCCUACGGGAGGCAGCAGUGGGGAAUUUUGGACAAUGGGCGCAAGCCUGAUCCAGCCAUUCCGCGUGAGUGAAGAAGGCCUUCGGGUUGUAAAGCUCUUUCGCAAGGGAAGAAAACUUACAUUCUAAUAAAGUGUGAGGCUGACGGUACCUUGAUAAGAAGCACCGGCUAACUACGUGCCAGCCGCCGCCGUAA